RNAcentral lists this transfer RNA (77 nucleotides) under Malaciobacter pacificus. Its description in RNAcentral is "tRNA-Thr". It matches the Rfam family "tRNA". Rfam says of the family: Transfer RNA (tRNA) molecules are approximately 80 nucleotides in length. Their secondary structure includes four short double-helical elements and three loops (D, anti-codon, and T loops). Further hydrogen bonds mediate the characteristic L-shaped molecular structure. tRNAs have two regions of fundamental functional importance: the anti-codon, which is responsible for specific mRNA codon recognition, and the 3' end, to which the tRNAs corresponding amino acid is attached (by aminoacyl-tRNA synthetases). tRNAs cope with the degeneracy of the genetic code in two manners: having more than one tRNA (with a specific anti-codon) for a particular amino acid; and 'wobble' base-pairing, i.e. permitting non-standard base-pairing at the 3rd anti-codon position. The record is from RNAcentral. Lineage: Bacteria; Pseudomonadati; Campylobacterota; Epsilonproteobacteria; Campylobacterales; Arcobacteraceae. RNAcentral also lists the same sequence under 5 other names.
GCUGAUGUAGCUCAGUUGGCUAGAGCAGCUGAUUUGUAAUCAGCAGGUCGGGGGUUCGACUCCCUUCAUCAGCUCCA